Molecule: ribosomal RNA, 253 nt
Filed under: uncultured bacterium
Lineage: Bacteria
Description: partial 16S ribosomal RNA
Rfam family: Bacterial small subunit ribosomal RNA
Source: RNAcentral
UACGAAGGGUGCAAGCGUUACUCGGAAUUACUGGGCGUAAAGCGUGCGUAGGCGGUUUGUUAAGUCUGUUGUGAAAGCCCCGGGCUCAACCUGGGAAUGGCAAUGGAAACUGGCGAGCUAGAGUACGGUAGAGGAGAGUGGAAUUCCCGGUGUAGCAGUGAAAUGCGUAGAGAUCGGGAGGAACAUCAGUUGCGAAGGCGGCUCUCUGGACCAGUACUGACGUUGAGGCACGAAAGCGUGGGGAGCAAACAGG